AGGAGGAACAACAACAGUGUCAGAGGUCAGCUCUAGAGCUCUGGAUUCAGCUCCCGCAGUAACUAUGGAGCUCUCAGCCUGCAGGGGCCUGGAUGCUCCGGGAGCGG
This 107-nucleotide microRNA precursor is filed under the name Canis lupus familiaris (dog). Its description in RNAcentral is "mir-8834 microRNA precursor family". It matches the Rfam family "mir-8834 microRNA precursor family". The record is from Rfam by way of RNAcentral. Lineage: Eukaryota; Metazoa; Chordata; Mammalia; Carnivora; Canidae. RNAcentral also lists the same sequence under 1 other name.